CUGCAAUUGGACCCAGAAUCUACAUUAUUGGGCGGAAUGGAUUGCUUUGUUAUGAUACUUGGAGCGGCACUGUUUCUCUCAGGUCUGCUAUGAUUUUUUCCAGGAAGAAAUUCGCCAGCGCCGUAGUCUCUGGCAAAAUCUACGUAGCCGGAGGUGGAUCACGGGUGGCAACGGCGGUUGAGGAGUAUGACCCAGAAAGCGAUACAUGGACAGUGGUGGCACACGCUCCCAGGAGGAGAUUUGGAUGCAUUGGGGCAGCCGUUGAUGGGG
This 270-nucleotide unclassified non-coding RNA is filed under the name Hevea brasiliensis (rubber tree). The record is from RNAcentral. Lineage: Eukaryota; Viridiplantae; Streptophyta; Magnoliopsida; Malpighiales; Euphorbiaceae.